UACUCUGGACGUGCUGGUGGUUCGCUCUCCCGCGGCACGCGCCUGAAACAGCGGUCCGGGGCGGGCGAGGCAAGAGGGAACCCGGUGCGAAUCCGGGACUGCCCCGCAGCGGUGAGUGGGAACGAACGCCGCCCCCGGUCCCCAGGGACCGGGCAGCACUGGACCGAGGAGUCUGGGAAGCAGGCGGCCGGUAGGAGUAUCCGUCCCAAGGGCGGAAGGUGCCCGCGAGUCCGAAGACCUGCCACCGGCACGCGCACCGG
This 260-nucleotide non-coding RNA is filed under the name Streptomonospora alba. Lineage: Bacteria; Bacillati; Actinomycetota; Actinomycetes; Streptosporangiales; Nocardiopsidaceae. The record is from RNAcentral.